GUCAGAGAACUUGGGUUCAAAUUCCAGUUCUUCCAUUUGCUACUUGUAUGAUCUUGGAUUCUGUAGCCCAGGAACUUUCAAAAUCAUGGAAAAAUUGACCUCUGUUCAAGGUAAUACGUGACACUGGAUGGGAACCAAUGGAGAUGUUCUGAUUCCCCAUUCUCAUUGUUCCUGUUGAUCUAUUUCAUUUUCCACGUGGUCUUUGAUCUUGACCAUCAACUAUACUAGGUAUAUACCCCAAAAAUAUCAAAGAAAGAGGAAAAAGAGCUAUAUAUGCGAAAAAUUUAGAGCAGAUCUUUUUGUGGUAACAAAGAAGUGGAAACUGAGGAUAUGUCUAUCAAUUGGGGAAUGGCUGAACAACUUAUUGUAUAUGAAUGUGAUGAGGAAAUUGAUAAGAUAUGAGGAAAUAGAUGAUUUCAGAGAAACUCAGGAAGAUUUGUAUAAACUGAUACAGUAUGAAAUGGACAGAACCCAAGUGAACAAUUUAUACAAUAACAAUAGUGCUAUAAAGACAACGAUUUUGAAAACCUUAGGAAUUCUGAUCAGCAUAAUGAACAACUAUGAUUUCACAGGACUCCUGACAAAACAAACUUCCCCCGUCCUGAGAGAGAAGUGCUGGAUUCAGAGUUCAGAUUAAGGUGGUUGGUUUUUUUUGUUUGUUUGUUUUUGGACAAUGACGUUUCAGGAAUUUGUUUUGCUUGACUAUGUGUGAAUAGGAGAAUCUAUUUUUCUUGUUUUUAC
Molecule: long non-coding RNA, 741 nt
Organism: Dromiciops gliroides (monito del monte)
Lineage: Eukaryota; Metazoa; Chordata; Mammalia; Microbiotheria; Microbiotheriidae
Exons: 3
Source: RefSeq, a predicted model, not a curated record